Molecule: unclassified non-coding RNA, 812 nt
Filed under: Hevea brasiliensis (rubber tree)
Lineage: Eukaryota; Viridiplantae; Streptophyta; Magnoliopsida; Malpighiales; Euphorbiaceae
Source: RNAcentral
UUUAUUGAUUCAAUUAAUUAAGAUUCGUACUAAACAGACCCAUGAAGAGGAUAAAAUGCUCUCUCUUGCACUUCAUAUUCAGAGAGUUCGAAUCUAAAAUCACUAGUUUAUCUCACACCUUGAAGGUAGCUUAGGUUUUGUAUUUUAACUAUCAAGUAAUGUGACAUUUCAGACACCAAAUCGAAGUUUAUUUUAUCAAAUUUAUAAGUUUAUGGUUAAUCCAUUGGAAUUUAUCAUGUAAAUUCUUUUUUUAUUUUCAAUAUGGAAAUAUUUUAUCAACGCAAGACGAAGGACAAACACACCCAGUGACAUUCGUCGAACACAAGCACCCAACUCUCGUGAUCAACUAACUCUACAUCACCAAAACGGUAACAAAGAGAGCAGCAGCCACAGUUCCAGAAAUAGCAAAUCUGUUCGAAAUGCCGCUGUUUUCAGCCGGUGAAGGAGCUUCAGACGGCGGCACCGAGAUUGUGGUGGGGGAAGGAGAAGACGCUACUGGAGCAGGAGAAGACUCUGGAGUACUAGGACGAGGAGGAGGAGGAGAUUCUGUAGAAGAAGAAUUCGGAGGAGUGCUACUCUUUUCAGGUGGCUGAGACUGAGGAGCGGCGGCUGGUUCCAGAUUUGAAGUCGAUGACUGCGGAGAUUUCACUGGAGAAGAUGCCGGUGAGGAUGCAGGAGGUUGAGCUAACGCAGAGGUCAUGAAAAUUGCCAUUAUCAUUAAAACAACAGCGCUGGAGCGAGCCAUUCUCAAAGAGAUGAAGACGCGCAAAAGUUACGGAGACCAGAACUUGUGCGCUGAACACUCGAAUCAG